RNAcentral lists this transfer RNA (62 nucleotides) under Oreohelix idahoensis. RNAcentral's name for it is "tRNA-Gln". Lineage: Eukaryota; Metazoa; Mollusca; Gastropoda; Stylommatophora; Oreohelicidae. The record is from RNAcentral.
UUUCAGAUGGUGUAUAAGCACGGAAAAUUUUGAUUUUUCAAGAAAUAAAAUAUUGCUGAAAU